UACAGAGGUCUCAAGCGUUGUUCGGAUUCACUGGGCGUAAAGGGUGCGCAGGCGGCCAAGUGUGUGAGGCGUGAAAGCCUGGAGCUUAACUCCAGAAUUGCACCUCAAACUACAUGGCUAGAGCAUUGGAGAGGGUAGCGGAAUUCACGGUGUAGCAGUGAAAUGCGUAGAUAUCGUGAGGAACACCAGAGGCGAAGGCGGCUACCUGGACAAUUGCUGACGCUCAGGCACGAAAGCGUGGGGAGCAAAAGGG
Molecule: ribosomal RNA, 253 nt
Filed under: uncultured bacterium
Lineage: Bacteria
Description: partial 16S ribosomal RNA
Rfam family: Bacterial small subunit ribosomal RNA
Source: RNAcentral